GACGAACGCUGGCGGCGUGCUUAACACAUGCAAGUCGAACGGAAAGGCCUGCCUUCCCUUGUGGAUUGCGGGUACUCGAGUGGCGAACGGGUGAGUAACACGUGAGUGAUCUGCCCCCAACUUGGGUAUAAGCCUGGGAAACUGGGUCUAAUUCCCGAUAGGACUGUAGGGUGGUGCCUGUGGUGGAAAACGAUUUUCUAGUGGUUGGGGAUGAGCUCGCGGCCUAUCAGCUUGUUGGUGGGGUAAUGGACUACCAAGGCGGCGACGGGUAGCCGGCCGGAGAGCGGGGACGGCCACAUUGGGACUGAGAUACGGCCCAGACUCCUACGGGAGGCAGCAGUGGGGAAUAUUAGAGAAUGGGCGGAAGCCUGAUGCAGCGACGCCGCGUGGGGGGUGACGGCCUUCGGGUUGUAAACUCCUUUCGACCGCGAGGAAGCCACCUGGUUGGAAGGGUGGUGACGGUAGUGGUAGAAGAAGCACCGGCUAACUACGUG
This 494-nucleotide ribosomal RNA is filed under the name uncultured bacterium. Its description in RNAcentral is "partial 16S ribosomal RNA". It matches the Rfam family "Bacterial small subunit ribosomal RNA", at positions 28 to 507 of the family's 1533-position model. The record is from RNAcentral.